RNAcentral lists this ribosomal RNA (434 nucleotides) under Phormidium tenue NTIA 08. Its description in RNAcentral is "bacterial SSU rRNA". It matches the Rfam family "Bacterial small subunit ribosomal RNA", at positions 862 to 1295 of the family's 1533-position model. Lineage: Bacteria; Bacillati; Cyanobacteriota; Cyanophyceae; Oscillatoriales; Oscillatoriaceae. The record is from RNAcentral.
AAGCACUCCGCCUGGGGAGUACGGUCACAAGGGUAAAACUCAAAGGAAUUGACGGGGACCCGCACAAGCGGUGGAGCAUGUGGUUUAAUUCGAAGCAACGCGAAGAACCUUACCAACUCUUGACAUCCCCCUUACCUGUACAGAGAUGGACGUUCCCCUUCGGGGGCAGGGGUGACAGGUUGUGCAUGGUUGUCGUCAGCUCGUGUCGNGAGAUCUUGGGUUAAGUCCCGCAAGGAGCGCCACCAUUCUCUUGUGCCCCCAGCAUUAAGUUGGGCACUCUAAGGAGGCAGCCGGUGACAAACUGGAGGAAGGUGGGGAUGACGUCAAAUCAUCAUGGCCCUUAUGAGCAUGGUCACACACGUGCUACAAUGGNCCGCCCAAAGGGUAACGCACCCCAGAGCCAGACCCAAUCCCAGAAAGAGGUUCUUAGUUCG